CCCAAACAUGGUCUCCCGACGUUCGAAGGGGAGCAUGGGCGGAUUGGAGCACCACAUCAACUCCAGCGUUCAGCCGAGGAACAAAAAACUUAACGUGAAGGAGAAGCCUAAGGACGUCGUUGUUGCGAAGACCGAAAAUUCAAUCAAAAAGGAGAUCAAGAAAGUCAAGCGCAAGAUUGAGGUGAAAUCCCCAAUCGAGAAUGGCGUGAAGAGAGAGAAACUCGAAAAAACUACGAUCUCGAACGAGAUUCGGAAACGGAAUAGCGUCAAGGAGACGGUUAUCACAGAAAACUGCAGGGAGCCGGCUCUCAAGAAGCGUUCCAGUGAAGUGGUUUCGCCCGCGCCCGAUUCUCCGAAACGACGCAAAACCUCCGACGAUUUCCCCGUCCUACCGGUGUGCGCCAUUUGCGCUCAGCCAGACUCUCGGAGAAGUCCAAGACCUGCCGAGCUGAUCUAUUGUGCGGAAUGUGAGACGCGAUGCGCCCAUCCCUUCUGUUUGGGAGCCGCGCUGACCGAAGUAGACAAUUUCCAGUGGCGCUGUCCUCAGUGCCGACUGUGUGUCGUAUGCAAUCAACCAGAAGGUCCCCAUAUAUUCUAUGCUUGCGUAUCGUGUGCCAAUGGAAUCCACAAGCAAUGUAUGCCAGGGCAAAUAUCACCAAUCAAAGGGAUGCGAUGCGGUCGUUGUAUCAAAGGGAGUGAGAGUCCGGUGAAGACUCCGAAUUUAAUUAAGAGAGGCUAUAAGAAAAACUUGGAUACAAAAGACCUGUCCCCUAAAAAGAUUGAAGAAUCGCCAAAGGUAGAAAUACUCGCCGUCAGAGAAUCUCCGAAAACAGUUGUCGAAAGCCCAGUGAAACGUGCCCAGAAGCAGAAAGAGCGCUUGAAGAACCUCCAAAAGUGUCGGAAAGAGCGCAGUGAGACGGUCGUGCCAGAGAUCGACAUGGAAAUGUUCGAAGCAGCACAGACGAAGGUGAAGAGCAAGUCUACGGAAGCAUCGAAGAUCCAAUUCAUUCAGCUGGGCAAAUAUCAAAUUCGGACCUGGUACGGGGCACCUUAUCCUCAGGAGUACCAACAGUUGGAAACCCUUUUCCUCUGUGAGUUUUGCCUGAAGUACAUGUCGUCGGACGUCGUUCUCCGGAGACAUCUCUCCAAAUGCCCAUGGAGACAUCCACCCGGUGACGAAAUCUACCGUCACGGGAAACUUUCUUUCUUCGAGGUCGACGGCGAGAAGCAAAAAACCUAUUGCCAGAACCUCUGUCUUCUGGCCAAAUUGUUCCUGGAUCACAAAACAUUGUAUUUCGACGUGGAACCUUUUCUGUUCUACUGUCUUACAAUGUACGAUAACACCGGCUGCCAUCUCGUCGGAUAUUUCUCCAAAGAAAAAAAUUCUUUCUUGAAUUAUAACGUCAGCUGUAUCCUGACAAUACCGGCGUUCCAACGACAAGGCUACGGCCGGCUGCUCAUCGACUUCAGUUAUCUACUCACGAAAACCGAAGGGAAGGUGGGCUCUCCGGAAAAGCCGCUCAGCGAUCUCGGACUCAUCAGCUAUAGGGCCUAUUGGAAAUCCGUCAUCAAGCACUUUCUUGAUAACUACCAAGGCACCGCGAUAUCGAUCAGGGAAAUCUCGCAAGCGACUGCCAUUCAACCCUACGAUAUCGUUAGCACGCUCCAAGUUCUCGGCGUGAUCAAGUAUUGGAAGGGCCAGCACGUCAUAAUGAAAACGAUACAGAAAGUCACGACGCCAACAGCGACGAGCGGUCGGAAGAACUCCAAGAAGAAAGAGAAGCCAAUCGAAAUCAUCGACAACCCUCUGAAACUAGAUCCGAGCUGUUUGCAAUGGGUUCCGCCCAAGAAGAAAGACGGCAUCGAGACAAACGUGAAAUGACUUCCCGGCGAGAGUCUAGAAAUUGUCCUAACUUUCCUGGGAACAGUCCUGUCCCAACCCAAAACUCGCUGAGCAUGUUCAUAUCCUGCAAAUUGUUCUUUGCUGUGCCUGGAUGAUCCUUUGUACAGUAUGUGGUGAGCAGUUCUCCUGGGUGUAGCGGUCUGAUCCGAGCCCGAGCUUUGUGGGAUUGACGGACGACGGAUCGAUUCCUGCGCGUCGUAUAGCGUGCGUAGUUCAUUCAUUUGACCGCUCUGCGGAUUUCCAGCAAUCGUGCGUGACUGAAACAGGCCGGAGGAGCAUGGAGUGAGUUUGAAUGGGCGACAACGCGUGGCCAUGUUGAGUAGAUAGAUGAUGCGUUUGGUGGCGGAUAUAUGGGACCGAAUAACUGAUUUAU
This 2276-nucleotide long non-coding RNA is filed under the name Galendromus occidentalis (western predatory mite). RNAcentral's name for it is "histone acetyltransferase KAT7". The record is from RNAcentral. Lineage: Eukaryota; Metazoa; Arthropoda; Arachnida; Mesostigmata; Phytoseiidae.